UCCUACGGGAGGCAGCAGUGGGGAAUAUUGCGCAAUGGAGGAAGCUUUGACGCAGCAACGCCGCGUGAAGGAUGAAGGUCUUCGGAUUGUAAACUUCUUUGAUGAGGGACGAAGGAAGUGACGGUACCUCAAAAACAAGCCACGGCUAACUACGUGCCAGCAGCCGCGGUAAUA
Molecule: ribosomal RNA, 174 nt
Filed under: Clostridium sp. enrichment culture
Lineage: Bacteria; Bacillati; Bacillota; Clostridia; Eubacteriales; Clostridiaceae
Description: partial 16S ribosomal RNA
Rfam family: Bacterial small subunit ribosomal RNA
Source: RNAcentral